ACACUUAAACCCGCACCGCACCCGCAUACGCUUAAACCCGCCCCCGCCCCGCCCCAUUGCCAUCCCUACUCUUUCUGCUGCAUGUCUUAGCUUGGUGGUAUAUAAUUCUGGCAAUAUGAUCUCUAUUUUGAUUUUGCUUAAUUUUUAGUUUUUGGUUUUCUCAUUUGUGACUGCAGAUUUGUAGCUUGGUUUAGUUUCUACACCAUUUUAAUGUUGGUUGUUUUGGUUGAUUUUGCAGGUAUUCAGCAAAUUUUUGUAUCGUUAUAGUAUACAUGUCUCCCUAUUAGUUUUACCUUUUGGUGGACUGACAGAUGAACACUCUUCAUUGAAGCUAUUUCUCUAGACUCCCAAGUUAAAGCCUCAAUGAAGAGCAUUAUCAUUUUUAUAUGCAACAAAGUUAGUAGAUUCUCCUUAUAAAAGUUCUGUAGACUCUAUUCGUCUUGUGAUAUCUAAGGUGUCCAUUAAAGGCAAUUUUGUUGAUUCAUGAUGAGAUUAUGAGAUAGUCCCUCUUUCUUUUUGGUCCGGGCCAAGCACUCCAUAUGUCUUUCGGUCUUGAUCUGAGCACUCGUCUAACUACUAAGAAAGCUUGAGGGACCUUUCUUUCUGAGUUAUUGGCUACCGGUCUUACUUCUCUUGGUCUCUUCCUCUGCGCUAAAUAACUUGGCCCAGGAUAGGGAAUGCGAGCUUCUUUCACUCACUUGAGUUUGUCUGAACAUUGGAACAGUAACGAGAAAAAUGCCCCACUCCACAUUCAUAUCCUUUUGUGGCUCUUCACUCCAGCCCUAAAGUAGUGAGAUUUUAUUUAGUACCAUGUAUUGAAGUUUAGAACAAGAAAUGCUUAGACGACGAACAGACGUGCAUUGAAUCGUCGCAGGUUGCUUCCUUUUCUUGAACUAUUGUCCUUCUAAUUUCAUCUGCCGAAGAAAACUCCUUUCACUAUAUCAGUCUUGGUAUAUUUGCUCUAACAGAGGAUGGUUCAAGGAUGUAUUCAAUGUCACAAGUAAAGAUAAGAAUAAUAUUACAAAGGUAUCAGCCUUGGAUUAUAUCAUGAAGGUGAGCUUAUUCUCUGUGCAAAUUUAGAAUCUUUUUACUUUCACCUUAUAGUAAGACAAUUUAUUGUUUUUAUUGGUGUUUCGCGUUUGAAUUAUUUAACUAAGUAUGCUAACUGUUUCCAAUUAAAUUUGUGGGUUUAGACUUUAGAGCUUGACUGUUAGUACUAAAGGCUUACUUUGAUUUUUUCAGGAAACUUAUUCUAUAAUAGGAACAUUAAUUGCCAGUUGAUCAUUUUUGUAUAUCAUAGCUUCUUUUGAUGAAUCAAAGAUGAAAAUAGUAUUACAAUGUGUAAACUUGUAAUGGUACAAAUUAUUAUUGCAUGAUUUGUGUCUUUUUUCUCUUCAUGUCCAAAAAAAAGUUUCUUAAAAUGCAAUAUUGAAGGUUGGGUGUAGCUCUUCAGUGAACGAGUUAAUACUAACAUAAUCUUUGUAAUUGACUUCUUACAAGAAUAGCCACUUAAGUAAAAACGUAGUAGAGGAAAUAUUGCUAAAUCUAUUAUCAUAAAUGAGGACAUUUUGAAAGACAGAUCUGGAGAAGUUUAAUAUUGGAGGGAUUCAGUUGGUGAAGCAGGCAAAACAGUAAGAUGCAAUUUACCAAGUGGUUAUGAAUGGUACAAGGCUAUCUUUCUUUUGUAUUUCUUCUUUCAAGAUAUAGUGCUUUCCUUUCUUUUUAAAGUUUCUACUUAAAAUUUCUCAUUACUUCCAAUGUGGUGGCAACGAGAGAGAACACAGGAAGGAUCCAACUUCAAGUUCCGAGCAUGAUAUACCAGAAACACCAGAUCCAAAGCGUUUAUCUUAUGAAAUUUUAAUUUAAUUUUCUUUACAUACACUAAGGAGACUUGCUCAGAAUAGAGAGGCAGCACGAAAAAGUGGACUCGGCAAAAAGGUACUUAUCAUUCUCUUAUGUAGUGAGUUUGCUUUUCUUGAGCCGAGUGUCUAUCAAAAAACAGUUUUUCUACCUGCACAAGGUAGGGGUAAAGACUACAUACAUACAACCCUCUCCAAACUCCACUUGUGAGAUUAUACUAGGUAUGUUCCAAGCUAGAAAUUUUAAAUAUUUUUGCACUUCCUAGCUUGAGGGGGAGUGUUGAGAAAGGUGUUACAUAAGUCUUUAAAGGGUAGGUUAGUCAUUUUAUUAUACUCCACCAAUAGGAAUCUAGUAGGUAGUUAAGUUAGUUGGACAAGUGUAUUAUAUAUACAUACGUGUAUACACACAUACUGAAUAACAGAAUAAUAUUUCCUUUCUGA
Molecule: long non-coding RNA, 2300 nt
Organism: Nicotiana attenuata
Lineage: Eukaryota; Viridiplantae; Streptophyta; Magnoliopsida; Solanales; Solanaceae
Exons: 2
Source: RefSeq, a predicted model, not a curated record